Molecule: ribosomal RNA, 253 nt
Filed under: uncultured bacterium
Lineage: Bacteria
Description: partial 16S ribosomal RNA
Rfam family: Bacterial small subunit ribosomal RNA
Source: RNAcentral
UACGUAGGGGGCUAGCGUUGUCCGGAAUCAUUGGGCGUAAAGCGCGUGUAGGCGGUCCGGUAAGUCCGCUGUGAAAGUCGGGGGCUCAACCCUCGGAUGCCGGUGGAUACUGUCGGGCUUGAGUACGGAAGAGGCGAGUGGAAUUCCUGGUGUAGCGGUGAAAUGCGCAGAUAUCAGGAGGAACACCAGUGGCGAAGGCGACUUCCUGGCCUGUUCUUGACGCUGAGGCGCGAAAGCUAGGGGAGCAAACGGG